UACAGAGGUCCCAAGCGUUGUUCGGAUUCAUUAGGCGUAAAGGGUGCGUAGGCGGCGCGGUAAGUCGGGUGUGAAAUCUCGGAGCUUAACUCCGAAACUGCAUUCGAUACUGCCGUGCUUGAGGACUGGAGAGGAGACUGGAAUUUACGGUGUAGCGGUGAAAUGCGUAGAUAUCUGCAGGAACACCCGUGGCGAAAGCGGCGCGCUGGACCACUACUGACGCUGAGGAACGAAAGCUAGGGGAGCAAACAGG
This 253-nucleotide ribosomal RNA is filed under the name uncultured bacterium. RNAcentral's name for it is "partial 16S ribosomal RNA". It matches the Rfam family "Bacterial small subunit ribosomal RNA", at positions 524 to 776 of the family's 1533-position model. The record is from RNAcentral.